CGAACGGGUGAGUAACACGUGGGCAAUCUGCCCUGCACUCUGGGACAAGCCCUGGAAACGGGGUCUAAUACCGGAUACUGACCCUCGCGGGCAUCUGCGAGGUUCGAAAGCUCCGGCGGUGCAGGAUGAGCCCGCGGCCUAUCAGCUUGUUGGUGAGGUAAUGGCUCACCAAGGCGACGACGGGUAGCCGGCCUGAGAGGGCGACCGGCCACACUGGGACUGAGACACGGCCCAGACUCCUACGGGAGGCAGCAGUGGGGAAUAUUGCACAAUGGGCGAAAGCCUGAUGCAGCGACGCCGCGUGAGGGAUGACGGCCUUCGGGUUGUAAACCUCUUUCAGCAGGGAAGAAGCGAAAGUGACGGUACCUGCAGAAGAAGCGCCGGCUAACUACGUGCCAGCAGCCGCGGUAAUACGUAGGGCGCAAGCGUUGUCCGGAAUUAUUGGGCGUAAAGAGCUCGUAGGCGGCUUGUCGCGUCGGUUGUGAAAGCCCGGGGCUUAACCCCGGGUCUGCAGUCGAUACGGGCAGGCUAGAGUUCGGUAGGGGAGAUCGGAAUUCCUGGUGUAGCGGUGAAAUGCGCAGAUAUCAGGAGGAUCGCCGUUGUCAAAGUCGUCUCGGCGCAGCAUUACAUACCCUGGUA
RNAcentral lists this ribosomal RNA (639 nucleotides) under Streptomyces sp. L732. RNAcentral's name for it is "bacterial SSU rRNA". It matches the Rfam family "Bacterial small subunit ribosomal RNA", at positions 99 to 751 of the family's 1533-position model. Lineage: Bacteria; Bacillati; Actinomycetota; Actinomycetes; Kitasatosporales; Streptomycetaceae. The record is from RNAcentral.